This 3836-nucleotide long non-coding RNA is filed under the name Heterocephalus glaber (naked mole-rat). Its description in RNAcentral is "lncRNA (ENSHGLG00100043100.1)". The record is from RNAcentral. Lineage: Eukaryota; Metazoa; Chordata; Mammalia; Rodentia; Bathyergidae.
CCCAGGCAGGGCUGGAGUAGGGCCGGGCCGCUCCGAGGGAGCAGGGAGGCAGCUGGGCCUGCAGCCAGUCCUCCGCAGACCUGCAGAGGGCCCAUCUGCCUGGACCUGGGCGCCUCCCCCGGAAUCUGCCCACAGCUCUGCUUCUUGCACAGCCGGCGGAUGAGUGGUGCGCGGGCAGGUCCGUGCCUGGGCAGAUGCAGGGCAGGACCGGGGCUGAGAGCUGAGGUCGCCGGACUCACUGCGUGCUUGAGAAACCCCAGGAGUAAAGGCUAAGGCCUCGGAGGCCCCAGUGAAAAGGCGCGGCUAUUAAACGCGGUUACCAGUGAAUCCCAGGUCGCAGACCCACUGACAUCCACCGGGAGGCUCGGCCUGUUACAGAGCUAGAGUCUGUGCACGCCCUACCGAGGUCCUGAGUCAUGCAGAAGAUGUCGAAUCACCCUGCUACAGACAGGCAGGUCUGCCCACACCCUGUCUAGGUCCCCAGUAACGUGGAACACACACCGAAUCAGCCCGCUGCAGACAGGAAGGUCUGUGCAUGCCCUACCGAGGUCCUGAGUCACGCGGAAGACAUUGAAUCAUCCCACUGCAGACAGGCAGCCACCUGAUUCCACAUUACCAAGGUGCAGAGGACACCAGACCACCAGACCAAGAUUCUGCAAACUCCAGCGUCCCUGAGAGAGCGAGGGGAGGUCACCAGAGUGAGGCCUGGGGGCCUGCAGGGCCCCACUGAAGGAGUUGGUGCAGCCAGGCCCAGGGUCCCAGCAGCUGCCCGAGAACUGUUACAUCUACUGCAUGAAGCUGGCCAGUACCGAGUUAUGCCGAGUUACCAGGCUGGAUUCAAACUCUGGUGUCCUCCUGCCCUGGCCUCCUGAGUACCUGGGACCACAGGUGUUUACCACCUGCUACAGUGUAGAUUAAGAAUGACCCCAACUCUCCUGUGGUCACACAUGGGCCUUUCGGAAGGCCCUUCUGCCAUGCCCUUCUGUGUGGGAGCUUGUCAACCAAACUGCAAAUGUGAGCCAAAAUAAACCUCUCCUCCUUUAAGUUAAGCAAGGUGCCAUGUUGUGAACCACCAGAUGGAGACAGUCAUACAGAAAGGAGCCUAGGGUGACCUUCAGCCAACAACCGGGCAAGAAUUCAGUCCCUCAGCUUGGCAGCAUGUAAGGAAUUGAAAGCUGCCAACAGCCUGAGGAAGCUCUUACCUCAAAUGUUCUCACAGUCCCAGUCAAUAUUUCAAUCCAGAUAGAAAUGAGCAGAAGAAAAGCAGAUGGAAGAAAAACAGGAGUGAAAGAAGAAGAAAGAAUGAUAUGGUGAAAAAUAGAAAAAAGGUUCUCCAAACUUGGAUACCCCUGAAAUGUUACUGGAACCCUCUGCAGUAAGCUCCAGUGUCCUGCCCAGUAUACGACACAGGCCUAAGAAAAGUACUAAAGGAUAGAACUAAGAGAGGAAGAAAGUGAGAUGCUAGGAUGACCAAUGCUAGUGCAACCUGCAACUGAUAAAGGUGCUGGCCAGUCAAAGCUACUGAUUUCUAUUAAUAAUCAAUUGGAAUAAAGGCAAUCUACAUGUAAGGAUGGCACUACAUGUGAGGAUGUGCAAUUAUAUGGUUUCUAUGGAAAUUAAUGUAAGCAGGACUCAUAAAAGACAAGACAAAGCAUUUUCAAAUUAGGAACAGAAUAGAAAAAAUAUAUGGUUGUAAUUAGAACAUUGUCCUUCUAGUUAAAAAGGAUUUAGUUAUGGGAACAAAAUUUGGGUGCAAGUUACUCUGACCUCGACAUGUAGGCUUCGGCCAGACUCACUUCUAUAAACAAGCCAAUUGUGGGGUUAACUCUUCACAGCCUGCACUGCUUACAGCCUGCUUUGGGGCAUAAUCAAUACUGUAGUCUCCUGCACUCCAGACUUGCUUCUAAUCUCUUCCUUUUCUAUUCUUGUACUUUUUCCCGAACACCUUUUACGUUUUCUCCUUUGAGGGUAAAAAUCACCAUAUUGAGGAGAUAUUUACUAUAUACAAUUUUCUGGUCUGUUUUAAAUUUUGUUAUAUAUCUACAAAUCUUUGUAUACUUAAAGAUGGCAAAUUAAUAGUUACCAGAGUUUGUGAUUUUCUAGCCUGUAUUUAAUGUUAUUUUUAUUACUGAUUGUACUACUUUAGCUAAGGUGACAUAACUGUUCUAAUCAAUUGCUCCUCCUUGUAGGCCAAGACUGAGAUGGCCUGAGGGUCAUAAAUAAUACUAUAGGCCAGAGCUAAAGAACCAGGGGGUAGGCCAAAUUAGGUAGCAACUUUUAAUCCCCAAUAAAUUGAAGAGGUUGGAUCUUGCAACAGACUCAAAACCCAGAAGACAGCUACAAGCGGAAGACAUCUUUGAGAAGUAGUCAUAUCCUAAGGGUUCCUGAACUAGCAAUAACGCUAACUAUCAUAAUCCAUUAACAAGCAUCAAUGCAGGAAAUGAACUGAAAAAUAUAGAAAAUGAAAAGACAUAGGAGGAAAAUGCAAGCCCAGACUUCUAGCUCACCAAAGGCAAACCCAAGGAGGCAAUGAGGUGGAACAAUUCGAAAGCCACCCACCUGGACUCUCUGUAGCAGUGGAAAUAACAAAACAAAUGUUGAGGAUCUAGAAAAAAUAAAAUCAAAGGUAAUUUCUCAGAUAACUACUGAGAUGAUGAUCCUAGUGAAGAAUAUAGUUAGUGAAUCUAGAGCAGAUAAGGAUAAAAAAUAGAAAGCUUAGGAAAAUGAUGGAAAACAUGAACAUCCAAGAUAAAAAAGAAAUGGCAUCCAUGAAACAGAUACAAAUACAAAUCCAAGAAAUUAAAAAUUUUAUUGAAAGCGUACAUAGCAGAAUGAACUGAUGUGAGGGCAGAAUAUUGGAUCAAGAAGACAGAAUUGCAGUUAGUGAUCAGGAAAAAAGAAGAUUUAUUAUAAACAGCAAGGAACCCCAAAAUAUUAACCCAACAGAUGCUAGAUGAUGCAAAAAAGAAAAACGUAAGAUUGAUCAGACUCAAUGAAAAAUCAAUAGAUAGCAAAUAUGACAUAAAAAUAAAUUUGUUCACAGAAGUAAUGGCAGAAAACUUUCAAACCAUGGAAAAAGAAUUUGACAAAUAAUUGAAGCAUAUAGAACUCCAAUCAGCCAUGAUGAAAAAAAUUACACCAAGGCGUAUGAUAGUCAAGAUUCCAGAAAUUCAACACAAGAACAGAAUAUGAAAAGCUGUUAGAGAAAAUAAACAAAUCACCUAUAAUGGAAAGACCAUCAGAAUCACAGACUUCCCAGCACAAAUCAUAAAGUCAAGGAGAGCUUUGAGUAAAAUAUUUUAAGUCCUAAAAGAAAACAACCUCCAACCCAGAUCAAUGUACCUCAAAAAAUUAUCUUUCAAAAUUGAUGGAAAAAUAAGAUGCUUCCAUGAUAAAGAACACCCGAAGAAAUUCAUGACCACCAAACCAGCACCCUAAAAGGUUUUGAAGGGAUCUAGAAAGAGACAGUGAAGACUACAAUUACAUGAACCCCAACAGAAUGAAUAAGCCAGACAUGCAAGUAAUUAAAAGGAAAGAGAGGGAACAGACAAAAGGAAAAUAACAUGUCAAAGAUAAGUCAAUACAUAUCAGUUAAAACCAUCAGUGUAAAUUGUCUCAAUUCAUCAAUCAAAUGAAACAGACUGGCAGAGUGGAUCAGGAAACAAGAUCCAACAAUUUAUUUCCAACAAUAAACAUAUUUAACUCAAAAAGAAAUUUAUAGACUGAAAGUCAAAGGAUGAAGGACAAUACUUUGUGUAACAGGAACCCAGAAAAAAAGCAGAGAUAGCUACUCCAUUAGCAGACUAAGUGGAAUUCAAGCCAAAACUGAUCAGAAG